This is a long non-coding RNA of Gallus gallus (chicken), 4473 nucleotides long. The record is from Ensembl. NCBI's taxonomy places the organism in Eukaryota, Metazoa, Chordata, Aves, Galliformes, Phasianidae.
GUAUAACAAAGGAAGCCAGACUGACUGUGUGAUAGAUAAACCAAUGGGCUUACCUAUCUGAAGAGCAAUCAAAAUGAAUAUCGAAAGCAGCAGCUUCCAGAAAUAUCCUGAAGGCAUGAGAGGGCUAUUUUUCCUGGGCACAAUAUAAUUACAAAAUACCACUAUGAGAAAGACAGUUCCUGUAUUUAAAUUAUCCUGGCAGAUGUAGAUUUGCUACAGUAGCUUUAUUAAGGCAAUCAGAAAUUAAUACUCUAAGUCAUCUUGAGAGCCCAAUUCAGCCAAGGCUUUCAUCCUGUUGACAUCAAAGGAGUCAGUCAGUGAGUGUUGUCUGCUCCAUCAGUCUCAGAGGAGCAGGAGGGAGUGACAAAAGGCUUACAAGAUAUCAUGGAAGGCACGAUGGCUUGUUUAUAGAAUAAACACAACUAACACGCUUAAACUCCAUCAGUCAGACCUCGGUUGACCUGAAACCUUGAAAAUUUUACUCUUGGCUUCCACUAACCAAAGAACUCCUCUUCUGCUGCUGGGGAAUUAGAAAGGAGGGGCAGAAGGAAGUGAGAGUACCUCAGCAAACAGCUCAACUGACAUUGAAAACACAUGUUUAACAGAGAUCAGAAACGCAUAAAGCACUUUAGAUAAACCCAUGAGGCAUGGCAAGAUGUUUUGUUACAGGUGGAAAAUCUUUCGUUCUCACUGAUGAAGCAAAACUGGAACUGAGCAUACUUUGCACAAAUGCAUUUUAAACACACAGUGUGGACGGUAUGAAAUUUUUCCCAGUUUUUUUCUUCUCAGUACUGUAAAACUCAACUUAAGUAACUGUUUAAAGAAAAAACAGAUUAUGAGGAAAAUCCUGAGAGUUUAACUCACGCAAAGUAGAGACGUGUAAUGAAGAGCUUGAAUGCUGGAGAACAUCCUAUUUGUGCACACAGCAACAUGAGCAACCUGAAGAGCAGACUGAACCUGGGAGAGGAAGGUAACGCAUUGCAACGCCAGAGCCUGCUGCUGCUGAAAGGCAGCUGAAGCAACACUGCAGGCUCUGAGUUAAAAAUAACAACACAUUUCUUUUAACAAAACCUAAUACCUUAUCACACCAAUAAGAACAAAUGUAGAAAAAUAGUUGCUAUUCAAGAGAUAGUCAUAUCAACUCCUGUAAAAUUGUACGCAAGGAAUGUUAAAGAAGGAAAAACAAGCAUCCCAUGCAAUAUCUUUAGGUCCAAAUAGCCUGAAAAAAUCAGUUUGAAACUGUCUGAAAGGAGCUGUGUACAGCGGAUAAUGCUCAGUAUUACUAAUCAGUAAAGUGGUUAACCUGCACGUUCGUUACACAACAGAAGAGUUUGAGCACACAAAAGCAGUUGGUCAGUUCAUCUCUUCUAAUUUCUAUUGUGUUUGGCACUUUGUUUAUGUUUAUUUCAAGUGCAGCCAUUUAUAAUGUCAUAAGCAUAAGUCUUACAGACAUUCUUGUGGCGCAGCACAGACCAGCUCUCGGACAGCAUUAGCAUGGCUCCCUGAAAAGCAAUUACUGAUAUGCAAACUCUUUUUAUCACAGUUUUCUUACAGUCAAAAUUAAUUUCUUUUGUGUGAGAACUGGCCAUUUACCAGACAAAACUUCAUGUUUUUCAAAGAACACAUUACCAGAAAUCUAAUUACUGUUGUGUUUUUUUUUCCCCUAAUGUAGAUUACCAGAAAUCUAAAUCAUCUUUCUAUGUUGUUUUUUUUUUUUCCUUAAAACCCGAAACAUCUCAGGAUUGUCCCUGUGGUGGUUCAUGAAAACUGUAGCUGUCUCCAGUGCCCUCUGUUUCCCAGGUUUCCUAUCUGGGCAAGAUAUAAUACGAUGAGUCCCACAACAGGUCAGUAAAAGGGAAAAGCACACCAAGGGAGGAGCGGCUUGUUUAAGAAGCCCACACAGCUGAAGAGUUUGGAGUAUGAGGCAUGCAGACUACUGGUCUCAUGAGACACUUGAGGAGACUGGGCCUGUGUGAGGGCGUGCGGCCUGCGCAGUGGGUCAGGCACUGGGAUAGUGAUUCUUCACAGUGUGCAGCACAUCACUCAGCCAUACUCACACCUACAGCCUCAGGCAAGAGCAGGAUUCUGGAAAAUUCACUUUAUUUGCAAAUGCGCAUAGGGCAGAUUGACCAGGCACAACACAGAAAAGUAUCACUUGGACACAGACCAUCAUGUGUCUGCCUAAGACAACAGUAAAAAAUACAACGGUCAGGUGAGAUUGCUGACUCCCUUGUAUCUUGGUUUUAAAAUAUAAUACCAGUAUUGACUUCAGAUCUUGCUCGAUUGACUUUAAUUUGAGCCAGGCCUCUACAGAAAGCUGUUGCCCGGGUAACAAAUGCUGUGCACCAUAAUAAGGCAAAUUGCUGUUGAAAUAAAUAAUAAUUAUGGCCCAGGUUUCAAGAGUAUUCUCUUUCCCUUUAUUUUAAUCUUGCCCUGGGCAAGGCUGUGGACACUGGCUUUGCUGAGAGGGCAGAACAUGCACUCCCUCCUCUGCUCCCAUUGCACCCCUGGUCAUGCACAUAUGGAGACUUUCAAAAUUGUAUUUAUUUCCUCAAGGGUACAUCAAUACCAAGUGCAAAUACCAAGAGAAAGAGCUGCUCUUAUUCGGGCUCAGUGUCUCUCACCAGAGGGCUCACAGAGAAGUACUGCCAGCUGUGGCUCACCAGGACCUCGAGUCCUCUCCUGCACCCUGCAGAGCUCUGCCCUUGUGCACCAGCUCACAGCCUUGGGCACAGGGGCUGUUCAGCACACAUGGCUUUCCAUCUAACAGUUCAGUGAUUCACAGACAAGUAUGAGCUCGAAGGAGGGCAAGGGGUGACAUGCUGUCAUGCCUACCAUACAGUUUGCACUCAGAAAGUAUUUGCACUAGAAAAGCAGACAUUGAAGGGAAUCUGGGUGGAUGUUUUCACUUUUUCCCUUCUUCCCCAGUCUUUGUUGAGUAUGGCCCUCUCAUCACCUAACACAACCAGCCACUAUCUGGCUAUGCUGUGGUUGAAAUAGGAAUGGGACACAACCAGCCACAGGAGGCAUACGUUCCCCCACAGCCCUUCCACAGCCCUACAUUCCAUCUUGCUUUUUCAUCACCAGGGGUCAGAGCAAGGAAGUCAACUGUCAAGUGUAUGUGUGAGAGGUAAGCUGCCAUGAGACUGCACAAGAGACCAUGUCCCCUCAUCACGGGUGGUAGCUAUCAGCAAACACCUGCACUGGAAGGCAGCACACAGCCUCCUUGCUUAGACCUGAUACCCACAUCAUGUUAGAACCAUGCUCAGAUUAUCACUCCACACAGUUCCUCUACAAUCUACGAGGUUUUCUUCUGCAGAGUACGGCACAGAGGACAGUCCUUCUAUUCAACUAUAGAAGGUAUCUGUCUAGAAAGAGAGAUGGCAAGUCCAUCCAUAGAUAUUUUUUUGCUAGCUUUUACUGACACCAGUCCUACUGGCUUGUAAUGAAUUUUAAAGGCCAAGCUGAGAUCCUCUAAGCCUGGCAGCACUCUCAAGUGGUGGCACUCUCUAAAACAUCCCUCAGUGGAAUGAUCUUCCCGUGUCUGCCAGGACCCUGAGCCUCUGGGUGAGGGUGUGGGGAGUGGUUUCUGUCCCACUGUAAGAGUGGAACAAGUCUGAGACCUCCUAAUGAAAUUGAACGUAUGUAAGUCCAUGGGGCCGGGUGAUAUCCAUCCUUGGGUUCUGAAAGAGUUGGCUGAUGUGGAUGCCAAGCCACUCUCCAUCAUAUUUGAAAAAUCAUGGUUAUCUGGUGAAGUCCCCCGUGACUGGAAAAAUUGAAACAUUACUCCUAUUUUUAAGAAAGGGAGAAAGGAAGACCUAGGGAACUACAGGCUGGUGAGCCUCACCUAUGUGCCCGGGAAGAUCAUGGAGCAGAUCCUCCUAGAAGCCUUUGUUAGGGCACAUACGAGACAAAGAGGUGAUUCGAGACAGCCAGCAUGUCUUCACCAAGGGCAGAUCAUACCUGACCAGUCUGGUGGCCUUCUAUGAUGGAGUGACGACUUCGGUGGAUGGGGGAAGGGCAAUGGAUGUCAUCUACCUGGACAUCUGCCUUUGACAUGGACCCUCAUCAAAUCUUUCUCUCUAAAUUGGAGGGGUAUGGGUUUGAAGGAUGGACCGUUCCAUGGAUUAAGAAUUGGUUGGCUGGACACAGCCAAAGGGUUGUGAUCAAUGGUUCUGUGUCAGGGUGGAGGCCGGUCACAAGUGUCCCUCAGGGGUCGGUCUUGGGACUGGUGCUCUUCAACAUCUUCAUCAGAAUGUGUAAGACCAGUCCUCCUCUUGGGUUCUCCAGCUUCAGAAGGAGCUGAGUCCAUAUGAAGACUCCUGCACAACUAUGUCUUCACAUUGUAUUUUCCAACAUGAUUCAGGUUUGGUCCAGACUCCUUUCAGAUGGAGGGCUGGGAGAUAUUGUGUGCAUCCUUACAUGCCUGUUCCCUAAUAAAAUUCACACACCUCUUCAGAAAUUCAAUAGGAG